GACGAACGCUGGCGGCGUGCCUAAUACAUGCAAGUAGAACGCUGAAGGAGGAGCUUGCUUCUCUGGAUGAGUUGCGAACGGGUGAGUAACGCGUAGGUAACCUGCCUGGUAGCGGGGGAUAACUAUUGGAAACGAUAGCUAAUACCGCAUAAGAGUAGAUGUCGCAUGACAUUUGCUUAAAAGGUGCAAUUGCAUCACUACCAGAUGGACCUGCGUUGUAUUAGCUAGUUGGUGAGGUAACGGCUCACCAAGGCAACGAUACAUAGCCGACCUGAGAGGGUGAUCGGCCACACUGGGACUGAGACACGGCCCAGACUCCUACGGGAGGCAGCAGUAGGGAAUCUUCGGCAAUGGACGGAAGUAUGACCGAGCAACGCCGCGUGAGUGAAGAAGGUUUUCGGAUCGUAAAGCUCUGUUGUAAGAGAAGAACGAGUGUGAGAGUGGAAAGUUCACACUGUGACGGUAUCUUACCAGAAAGGGACGGCUAACUACGUG
This 495-nucleotide ribosomal RNA is filed under the name uncultured bacterium. Its description in RNAcentral is "partial 16S ribosomal RNA". It matches the Rfam family "Bacterial small subunit ribosomal RNA", at positions 28 to 507 of the family's 1533-position model. The record is from RNAcentral.